This is a long non-coding RNA of Scatophagus argus, 1604 nucleotides long. RefSeq lists it as uncharacterized. The transcript has 3 exons. The record is from RefSeq and is a predicted model, not a curated record. Lineage: Eukaryota; Metazoa; Chordata; Actinopteri; Scatophagidae.
UCCAACACAGCCAUCACAUGACCAAAUGAUGUGUUUCCUGCUUAAAUACAGUGUUUGACCAGCCAUUAUCUGUCACCGCUCACCUUCAGUGGGCGAGCGGCGGCGGUAAACCCCGGGCAGCUCAUCACAGGGCUGCCAGUAAUUAUGUGCUUUUAUGAUUAGAGCCCAGCGGUGUGGCAGGUUCAGCCCUCCAGUCAACCGUACGGCUGGAAGCCGCCACAGGCUGUCAGCUGGACGACCGCUAACGUUAGCCGGGGUCACUGAGCUGCUGGUCUGGAGGUCUACGUGAGAGGGAAACAAAGAGGUCUGCAGGCUGUAUAGUGUCAGAGGUUUCACUGUGCUGGGGAGGAGGAACAGUCUGACACACAGUUAUGGCACCGCGACAGGGUUUUGCAUCAUUGUGGUGCUGUUGCUGUAAAGUGAUUGAGCUCUGAAGAAUUCAUCCUGCUUCAAUCCGCUAACUCAGACUCUGAAGAGAUCUGGACAAGGUAACGACGAAAGCAGCGGCUGCUGAGGUGCGUGGAUUUGGUUCACUUGUGGCACUGGUCUACAUGUCCCACAUAGUGUCACCUCCCAAAUCCUGAAUCACUGCGAUUCAGGGUCACGUCUGGUGCACGCAGCUCUGCUCCCUGCUGAUUGGCUGCUGGUCAGUCAUCCACAGGGAGCUGCUGGACACACAGACGGACGGACCGGCAGCACGCAGGGUUCGGCAUGCUGCCUGUACUUCAGACUUUGCUCUGCUGGUGUGUGAAUGCUACCAACAACAAUGAUGGGUACUACACACUGCUGUGCUUUUGUUUUCCACGAGCGGCUCUCUGUCUUCCCGCUCUCUCCACCCUCCUGUUCGGAGCUGGUGGCUCAGAGCCGACUGAACGCCGAGCUCAGCCUCACGAGGAUGCAGCAGAGCAGACAGAAGCAGUGGAGAGGUGGAGUGAAGGUGGUGCGAAAGCUCGUUUAGCCUCAAGUUAUCACCAAAGCCCCCGUCAGCCUCCAGGUUUCUUGCGGACGUCCACAUGUGGCCCAGAAGCUGCCGUGUGUGGUGUGGUGCGCUCAUGUGUGAACACGCCUGCCAAUGAAGACACGCAAUGCAGAAUAAACAGAAGCACCUUCGCUGUCACGCCCACGUCAGGACCUCCGGGCGGAGCGCUGUGGUCAGACACCUUUCUGCUCUGCAGUCAUUAUGUUCAAACAGACUGAAGACAGCAAUAAUUACCAGAUCACGAACUCACAAAAGGCUUCACUGACAAUUAGAACAAUUAGAUAAAGCCACCCUGAGCUGCUAAAACCCCGUCCUACCCAACAGGGUUCCUGUGUGGGCUCCCUGUGGACAUGGGAGAGGACAUCAGCACUAGGUGGUCCAUGUGUUGGUCCUUCUCUGCUGUGUGUCUGAUCCAUCGGUCGCGGUGACCUGUUAGACCUGAAGAUUAAUGUGAGCAGGAAGAUUUGAGGAGGGAAACCAAAGUGCCCGAGGGGGCGUCCCUCUUCGUGAGCUCCAGUUUGAGGUUCAGAAGUGCCCGAGGGGGCGUCCCUCUUCGUGAGCUCCAGUUUGAGGUUCAGCUCUUGAAGUGAGGACAUGAUGACAUUUCUGAACACUGAGGACAUCU